Molecule: long non-coding RNA, 1234 nt
Filed under: Oryctolagus cuniculus (rabbit)
Lineage: Eukaryota; Metazoa; Chordata; Mammalia; Lagomorpha; Leporidae
Description: lncRNA (ENSOCUG00000036143.1)
Source: RNAcentral
UUUUAGAAUUCAAUUUCUUCAUUUUAAAAGCUUUAUAUAUGUAUAUGAAAUUUUAUAACUCAAGUGUAUGAUAUAUAUACACAUAUAUAUGUAAACUCAAAGAAGUCUCCCAUCAUCCUGCGAAUCCUGCUGCAUUUCCACUCACUGUAAUGUGUAAUAAUUUUCAUUAAGCUCUGGUGCACCAUUCUUACAUUUAUUAUUUGUAAAAAUUUAAUAUCUUUGUCACCCACAUUUAUUCACAAUUAUAUCAAACACUUCUUAUAUCUUGUUUUUCCCACUUAACAAUACUUCCUAUCUCAAGUUCUUUCUGUUUUGUAGGUUCCAGAAAGCCCUUCAGUGGAGGACAGGAGAAACAAUAUAAUGAUCAGAUGAAUAAAUAUUCCCAGUCAGAGGUCCUUUGUUAAAGGCUUGUAAAUGAAGCAUGCUUAGCCCAGUUUCAAUAACUAAUUCUGGAAAAGGUGUAGCUGUAAUUCCUACCUGACCUCCUAAAGUGAACUCUCAUCUUUUCAAACUUCAGAAUAGUUACUCUGUGAACUUUACUUUGAAAUUCAACGCCAUGAUUUUAAUUGGAUCACAUAAAUACAUGGAAACAUAAAACAGAACACAUACACAUAAGGGAUAUUCAAAAAAUUUGCAGAAAAAUGAAAUUAAAAGAAAAUGUGAAUUUCCCAUGACUUGUUGAAGCCCCUCAUAGAGUAAAAACUAAGCAUAUCUGUUGCCUUCAUAUAUCUGGAUAAGUGAUUUUGACUAACUAUGAAGAUAGUCGAGCUGGUUUCAGAAAUGAGUCCUUACCAAUCCAUAUUUUACCUCAUUAAGUAGAACGAACCUUUUAACUUGAAACUACGCAGAAAAGGAUCUUCAACACAUACACUGCUUACCCAAGUCAUAAAGGCACAUUUUCUAUCAACCUGAGAAGUGAGCAAGGCUCUUCUAUUUAUUGUUCUACCAAAUUUCUGAAUCUGGCAAAAUAUGAAUUCCCAUCCAUCCCUAUAUUCACAUUCAAUAACUCGAUAAAGAUGCUGGGAAAUUAAAAUAUGCUUCAGAUAACUAGGGUGUGAAACAGAAGACUCCCAUCUCCUGCAAAGCCUCUUUAGCUAAAUACAUUUGGGUAGGUAUUUUGUAUAUCAUGUUGUCCUAUAGCUAGAGAUCUGAAAAUCUUCAAGUUGCAAGUGAACGGUAAGUAGCAUACAUAGUUUGUUGGCAAAAAGAAGAGAGAGUUAGAGAGAGGGAGAGA